AACCUGCCUUCAACAGGGGGAUAACACUCCCAACGGGGUGCUAAUACCGCAUAAGACCACGGAUUCGCAUGGAUCCGAGGUAAAAGGUGGCCUCUGCUUGCAAGCUACCGGUUGAAGAUGGCUUCGCGUCCCAUUAGCUAGUUGGCGGUGUAACGGCCCACCAAGGCGACGAUGCUUAGGGGACCUGAGAGGGUGAUCCCCCACACUGGCACUGAGAUACGGGCCAG
This 227-nucleotide ribosomal RNA is filed under the name uncultured bacterium. Its description in RNAcentral is "partial 16S ribosomal RNA". It matches the Rfam family "Bacterial small subunit ribosomal RNA", at positions 123 to 334 of the family's 1533-position model. The record is from RNAcentral.